RNAcentral lists this ribosomal RNA (433 nucleotides) under uncultured bacterium. Its description in RNAcentral is "partial 16S ribosomal RNA". It matches the Rfam family "Bacterial small subunit ribosomal RNA", at positions 29 to 507 of the family's 1533-position model. The record is from RNAcentral.
AACGAACGCUGGCGGCAUGCCUAACACAUGCCAGUCGAACGAGACCUUCGGGUCUAGUGGCGCACGGGUGCGUAACGCAUGGGAACCUGCCUUUAGGUUCGGAAUAACUCAGAGAAAUUUGAGCUAAUACCGGAUGAUGUCUUCGGACCAAAGAUUUAUCGCCUUUAGAUGGGCCCGCGUUGGAUUAGCUAGUUGGUGGGGUAAAGGCCUACCAAGGCGACGAUCCAUAGCUGGUCUGAGAGGAUGAUCAGCCACACUGGGACUGAGACACGGCCCAGACUCCUACGGGAGGCAGCAGUGGGGAAUAUUGGACAAUGGGCGAAAGCCUGAUCCAGCAAUGCCGCGUGAGUGAUGAAGGCCUUAGGGUUGUAAAGCUCUUUUACCCGAGAUGAUAAUGACAGUAUCGGGAGAAUAAGCUCCGGCUAACUCCGUG